RNAcentral lists this ribosomal RNA (490 nucleotides) under uncultured bacterium. RNAcentral describes it as "partial 16S ribosomal RNA". It matches the Rfam family "Bacterial small subunit ribosomal RNA", at positions 28 to 507 of the family's 1533-position model. The record is from RNAcentral.
GAUGAACGCUAGCUACAGGCUUAACACAUGCAAGUCGAGGGGAAACGAUGAGAGAGCUUGCUCUCUUAGGCGUCGACCGGCGCACGGGUGAGUAACGCGUAUCCAACCUACCCAUUACAGGGGGAUAACCUUGCGAAAGUAAGACUAAUACCCCAUGGCAUUUUAUGGUGGCAUCAUUAUAGGAUUAAAGAUUUAUUGGUAAUGGAUGGGGAUGCGUCUGAUUAGCUUGUUGGCGGGGUAACGGCCCACCAAGGCAACGAUCAGUAGGGGUUCUGAGAGGAAGGUCCCCCACAUUGGAACUGAGACACGGUCCAAACUCCUACGGGAGGCAGCAGUGAGGAAUAUUGGUCAAUGGGCGAGAGCUUGAACCAGCCAAGUAGCGUGCAGGAUGACGGCCCUAUGGGUUGUAAACUGCUUUUAGAGGGGAAUAAAGUGAGCUACGUGUAGUUUAUUGCAUGUACCCUAUGAAUAAGGACCGGCUAAUUCCGUG